RNAcentral lists this ribosomal RNA (265 nucleotides) under uncultured archaeon. Its description in RNAcentral is "partial 16S ribosomal RNA". It matches the Rfam family "Archaeal small subunit ribosomal RNA", at positions 717 to 982 of the family's 1478-position model. The record is from RNAcentral.
ACACGACUACAUUAGAUACCCGCGUAGUCCCAGCCGUAAACAAUGUGCGUUAGGUGUGUCGGUAACCACGCGUUACUGAUGCGCCGAAGAGAAAUCGUGAAACGCACCACCUGGGAAGUACGGUCGCAAGGCUGAAACUUAAGGGAAUUGGCGGGGGAGCACCACAACAGGUGGAGCCUGCGGUUUAAUUGGAUUCAACGCCGGACAUCUCACCGGAUAAGACAGCUGAAUGAUUGUCAAUCUGAAGGUUUUACAUGACUAGCUG